UACGGAGGGGGUUAGCGUUGUUCGGAAUUACUGGGCGUAAAGCGUACGUAGGCGGGCUAGCAAGUUGGGGGUGAAAUCCCGGGGCUCAACCCCGGAACGGCCUCCAAAACUGUUAGUCUUGAGUUCGAGAGAGGUGAGUGGAACUCCGAGUGUAGAGGUGAAAUUCGUAGAUAUUCGGAAGAACACCAGUGGCGAAGGCGGCUCACUGGCUCGAUACUGACGCUGAGGUACGAAAGUGUGGGGAGCAAAC
This 250-nucleotide ribosomal RNA is filed under the name uncultured bacterium. RNAcentral's name for it is "partial 16S ribosomal RNA". It matches the Rfam family "Bacterial small subunit ribosomal RNA", at positions 524 to 773 of the family's 1533-position model. The record is from RNAcentral.